Molecule: long non-coding RNA, 399 nt
Filed under: Mustela putorius furo (domestic ferret)
Lineage: Eukaryota; Metazoa; Chordata; Mammalia; Carnivora; Mustelidae
Description: lncRNA (ENSMPUG00000030430.1)
Source: RNAcentral
AUCAUACUAAUCCAUGGGAGACAGAUAGUUAUAGAAGAGUGUACCUCUAAAUUUUAUGGAUCAUUCUUGGAAGGAGCCAUGCAUAAUUUGUUUACCUUCCACGGGAAGGAGCUUAAUCACAUGAUGUCAUCUGUUUCCAAAGGGCUAAGGUGUAUGAAGGUAGAUCCUGCCAAGUAAGGCAAAGAUAUCAGAAGAUUAAAAUAUUUUGUGAAAAUGGAAGAGCACCUAACUCUGGAGCAUCACUCUGCUUACCACUCUGUAGGCAUAACUGUAUUGGAAUACAGAAACUUCAGAAGAGUAAAGGGACUCAGUGAAUGGCAGAUAUUUUGGAGCAAAGGAGGCCCUAAAAGUUGCAGCCAAACUAGCCCUGGAAAAGGGCCCAGGAAUAAAAUGAAAAAU